Molecule: ribosomal RNA, 454 nt
Filed under: uncultured bacterium
Lineage: Bacteria
Description: bacterial SSU rRNA
Rfam family: Bacterial small subunit ribosomal RNA
Source: RNAcentral
AGUAGUUUGAUCAUGGCUACAGAACGAACGCUGGCGGCAUGCCUAACACAUGCAAGUCGAACGAAGCCUUCGGGCUUAGUGGCGCACGGGUGCGCAACACGUGGGAAUCUGCCCUUCGGUUCGGAAUAACAGUUAGAAAUGACUGCUAAUACCGGAUGAUGACGUAAGUCCAAAGAUUUAUCGCCGAAGGAUGAGCCCGCGUAGGAUUAGGUAGUUGGUAGGGUAAUGGCCUACCAAGCCGACGAUCCUUAGCUGGUCUGAGAGGAUGAUCAGCCACACUGGGACUGAGGCACGGCCCAGACUCCUACGGGAGGCAGCAGUGGGGAAUAUUGGACAAUGGGCGAAAGCCUGAUCCAGCAAUGCCGCGUGAGUGAUGAAGGCCUUAGGGUUAUAAAGCUCUUUACCAGGGAUGAUAAUGACAGUACCUGGAGAAUAAGCUCCGGCUAACUCCGUG